RNAcentral lists this unclassified non-coding RNA (329 nucleotides) under soil metagenome. RNAcentral describes it as "partial contains 5.8S ribosomal RNA, internal transcribed spacer 2, and large subunit ribosomal RNA". The stretch from base 1 to 120 matches the Rfam family "5.8S ribosomal RNA", at positions 35 to 154 of the family's 154-position model. The record is from RNAcentral.
GAUGAAGAACGUAGCGAAAUGCGAUAAGUAAUGUGAAUUGCAGAAUUCAGUGAAUCAUCGAAUCUUUGAACGCACAUUGCGCCCCCUGGUAUUCCGGGGGGCAUGCCUGUUCGAGCGUCAUUACAACCCUCAAGCUCUGCUUGGUAUUGGGCCCCGCCAGUUCUGGCGGGCCCUAAAGUCAGUGGCGGUGCCUUCCGGCUCCGAGCGUAGUAAUUCUUCUCGCUCUGGAGACCCGGUUGUGUGCUUGCCAACACCCCCCAAUUUUUUAAGGUUGACCUCGGAUCAGGUAGGGAUACCCGCUGAACUUAAGCAUAUCAAUAAGCGGAGGA